GUAGGGGGCAAGCGUUGUUCGGAUUUACUGGGGCGUAAAGGGGUGUGUAGGCUGUCUGAGUAAGUCGAAUGUGAAAGUCCAUGGCUCAACCAUGGGAAGUGCAUUCGAUACUGCUUGACUUGAGUUCGAGAGAGGUGAGCAGAAUUCUCGGUGUAGCGGUGAAAUGCGUAGAUAUCGAGAAGAAUACCUGCGGCGAAAGCGGCUCACUGGCUCGAAACUGACGCUGAGACACGAAAGCGUGGGGAGCGAACGGGAUUAGAUACCCCGGUAGUCCACGCUGUAAACGAUGUCGACUUGGUGUUGGAGGUAUCGGCCCCUUCAGUGCCGGAGCUAACGCAUUAAGUCGACCGCCUGGGGAGUACGGUCGCAAGGCUA
RNAcentral lists this ribosomal RNA (375 nucleotides) under uncultured organism. RNAcentral describes it as "partial 16S ribosomal RNA". It matches the Rfam family "Bacterial small subunit ribosomal RNA", at positions 527 to 896 of the family's 1533-position model. The record is from RNAcentral.